GGUAGUAAAAGUCGUAACAAGGUUUCCGUAGGUGAACCUGCGGAAGGAUCAUUAAUGAGUUGUCAUGGGGUUCGAUGCUGGCAGCCAGUUUUUGGAUGCAUGUGCUUGCCCUAACAAUCAUCUUCUUCCAAACACCUGUGCACAUUUUUGAGGGAGUCUUGAGUUGGUUGCCGCUCUUGGGUGAUUUCCUCACAUUCCCUUAAAUCAUUAUACGCUAUUAACAAUGUUGAACGUGCUCUGUGCCGCAAGGCCAUUAAUAUAAUACAACUUUUAACAACGGAUCUCUUGGCUCUC
This 294-nucleotide unclassified non-coding RNA is filed under the name plant metagenome. RNAcentral's name for it is "partial contains small subunit ribosomal RNA, internal transcribed spacer 1, and 5.8S ribosomal RNA". The stretch from base 1 to 54 matches the Rfam family "Eukaryotic small subunit ribosomal RNA", at positions 1778 to 1831 of the family's 1831-position model. The record is from RNAcentral.